UUAGAUAGAAUACUAGUCA
Molecule: non-coding RNA, 19 nt
Filed under: Arabidopsis thaliana (thale cress)
Lineage: Eukaryota; Viridiplantae; Streptophyta; Magnoliopsida; Brassicales; Brassicaceae
Source: RNAcentral